This 497-nucleotide ribosomal RNA is filed under the name uncultured bacterium. RNAcentral's name for it is "bacterial SSU rRNA". It matches the Rfam family "Bacterial small subunit ribosomal RNA", at positions 30 to 523 of the family's 1533-position model. The record is from RNAcentral.
AUUGAACGCUGGCGGCAGGCCUAACACAUGCAAGUCGAGCGCGAAAGUUCUUCGGAACGAGUAGAGCGGCGGACGGGUGAGUAACGCGUGGGAAAUUGCCCAGUAGUGGGGGACAACAUUCGGAAACGGAUGCUAAUACCGCAUACGCCCUACGGGGGAAAGCAGGGGAUCUUCGGACCUUGCGCUAUUGGAUAUGCCCGCGUCGGAUUAGCUAGUUGGUGAGGUAAUGGCUCACCAAGGCAACGAUCCGUAGCUGGUCUGAGAGGAUGAUCAGCCACACUGGGACUGAGACACGGCCCAGACUCCUACGGGAGGCAGCAGUGGGGAAUAUUGGACAAUGGGCGGAAGCCUGAUCCAGCCAUGCCGCGUGUGUGAAGAAGGCCCUAGGGUUGUAAAGCACUUUCAGUAGGGAGGAAGGCCUUAAAAGUUAAUACCUUUGAGGAUUGACGUUACCUACAGAAGAAGCACCGGCUAACUCCGUGCCAGCGCCGCGGUAA